AUGAACGCUGGCGGCGUGCCUAAUACAUGCAAGUCGAGCGAACGGACGAGAAGCUUGCUUCUCUGAUGUUAGCGGCGGACGGGUGAGUAACACGUGGAUAACCUACCUAUAAGACUGGGAUAACUUCGGGAAACCGGAGCUAAUACCGGAUAAUAUUUUGAACCGCAUGGUUCAAAAGUGAAAGACGGUCUUGCUGUCACUUAUAGAUGGAUCCGCGCUGCAUUAGCUAGUUGGUAAGGUAACGGCUUACCAAGGCAACGAUGCAUAGUCGACCUGAGAGGGUGAUCGGCCACACUGGAACUGAGACACGGUCCAGACUCCUACGGGAGGCAGCAGUAGGGAAUCUUCCGCAAUGGGCGAAAGCCUGACGGAGCAACGCCGCGUGAGUGAUGAAGGUCUUCGGAUCGUAAAACUCUGUUAUUAGGGAAGAACAUAUGUGUAAGUAACUGUGCACAUCUUGACGGUACCUAAUCAGAAAGCCACGGCUAACUACGU
Molecule: ribosomal RNA, 495 nt
Filed under: uncultured bacterium
Lineage: Bacteria
Description: partial 16S ribosomal RNA
Rfam family: Bacterial small subunit ribosomal RNA
Source: RNAcentral